Molecule: non-coding RNA, 86 nt
Organism: Podarcis lilfordi (Lilford's wall lizard)
Lineage: Eukaryota; Metazoa; Chordata; Lepidosauria; Squamata; Lacertidae
Source: the annotation of a GenBank genome assembly
GGGGUGCCUAUCGGCUGUAACAGCAACUCCACGUGGAAGCCUCAAACCAUUCCAGUGGGGGGGCUGUUAUUUUGGAUGGGCACCCA